GAUGAACGCUGGCGGCGUGCCUAAUACAUGCAAGUCGAGCGAACAGACGAGGAGCUUGCUCCUCUGACGUUAGCGGCGGACGGGUGAGUAACACGUGGAUAACCUACCUAUAAGACUGGGAUAACUUCGGGAAACCGGAGCUAAUACCGGAUAAUAUAUUGAACCGCAUGGUUCAAUAGUGAAAGACGGUUUUGCUGUCACUUAUAGAUGGAUCCGCGCCGCAUUAGCUAGUUGGUAAGGUAACGGCUUACCAAGGCAACGAUGCGUAGCCGACCUGAGAGGGGGAGCGGGCACACCGGAAGUGAGAGACGGACCAACCUCGUACGAGAGGCAGCGGUGGGGAUUCUGCGGCAAUGGGCGAAAGCCUGACGGAGAAACCGGGCGAGGGUGAUAAAGGUAUUCGGUCUGUAAAAAGCUGUUUUUAGGAAAGAAAAAAUUUUUAAGUAACUAAGCACGUCUUGACGGUACCUAAUGAAAAAGCCACGGCUAACUACGU
This 496-nucleotide ribosomal RNA is filed under the name uncultured bacterium. RNAcentral's name for it is "partial 16S ribosomal RNA". It matches the Rfam family "Bacterial small subunit ribosomal RNA", at positions 28 to 506 of the family's 1533-position model. The record is from RNAcentral.